This 92-nucleotide small nucleolar RNA is filed under the name Colobus angolensis palliatus. RNAcentral's name for it is "Small nucleolar RNA SNORA51 (ENSCANG00000002137.1)". It matches the Rfam family "Small nucleolar RNA SNORA51". From Rfam's summary of the family: ACA51 is a member of the H/ACA class of snoRNA that guide the sites of modification of uridines to pseudouridines. The record is from Rfam by way of RNAcentral. Lineage: Eukaryota; Metazoa; Chordata; Mammalia; Primates; Cercopithecidae.
GCCCUUCUGGUGCUUACCACAGGCGGUGUUCUUACACUGAGUUUAUAGAAAGAGAAGGUUGCCUGGUCUGUAUUGUGAAUGGGGAAACAUAG